This 540-nucleotide ribosomal RNA is filed under the name uncultured bacterium. Its description in RNAcentral is "bacterial SSU rRNA". It matches the Rfam family "Bacterial small subunit ribosomal RNA", at positions 8 to 526 of the family's 1533-position model. The record is from RNAcentral.
AGAGUUUGAUCCUGGCUCAGAACGAACGUUGGCGGCGUGGAUUAGGCAUGCAAGUCGCACGAGAAAGGUUUCGCAAGAGACCAAGUAAAGUGGCGGACGGGUGAGUAAUGCAUAGAUAACUUGCCCUCAAGACGGGGAUAACUCUUCGAAAGAGGUGCUAAUACCCGAUACUGUCCUGACCUGUCGGGGUUUGGAUGAAAGGAGGCCUCUGAUACAAGCUUCCGCUCGAGGAGAGGUUUAUGUCCUAUUAGCUAGUUGGUGAGGUAACGGCUCACCAAGGCUUCGAUGGGUAGCCGACCUGAGAGGGUGACCGGCCACACUGGGACUGAGACACUGCCCAGACUCCUACGGGAGGCUGCAGUCGAGAAUCUUCCGCAAUGCGCGCAAGCGUGACGGAGCGACGCCGCGUGGGUGAUGAAGGCCUUCGGGUUGUAAAACCCUGUUAGCUACUAUGAACCGCGGGUGGUUAAUAGCCAUCCCGCCUGACGUAAGUAGCAGAGGAAGCACCGGCUAACUACGUGCCAGCCGCGGCGGUAAUUC